GCAUGAACGCUGGCGGUAUGCUUAACACAUGCAAGUCGAACGAAAUACGAUGGGGUUUACUCUAUCGUAUGGCAGUGGCGGACGGGUGCGUAACGCGUAAGAACUUACCUUUUGGCGAGGGACAACCGCGGGAAACUGCGGCUAAUACCUCAUAGAGCUGAGGAGCGAAAGGUGAAAACCACCAAAAGAGAGGCUUGCGUCUGAUUAGCUAGUUGGUGAGGGUAAUGGCCUCCCAAGGCGACGAUCAGUAGCUGGUCUGAGAGGAUGAUCAGCCACACUGGAACUGAGACACGGUCCAGACUCCUACGGGAGGCAGCAGUGAGGAAUUUUCCGCAAUGGGCGAAAGCCUGACGGAGCAAUACCGCGUGGAGGAGGAAGGCCCGUGGGUCAUAAACUCCUUUUCUCAGAGAAGAACACAAUGACGGUAUCUGAGGAAUAAGCAUCGGCUAACUCCGUGC
Molecule: ribosomal RNA, 458 nt
Filed under: uncultured bacterium
Lineage: Bacteria
Description: bacterial SSU rRNA
Rfam family: Bacterial small subunit ribosomal RNA
Source: RNAcentral